GUCUGCUAACAGUAAAAAUACUAUAAUAAAUCGGUAACAUAUGUUACCAGGCAAGGAAAAGUGAUAUAAAUAAAGAGACUAGGAGACCCAAACCAAGUACAAUGUGAAAAGAAUAUUGCAUUCUUACCCAAAUACUCUUCGUGAUUGCCUGCUUUGCGGCUUUGGGCAAGUAUUUGUCAAGAAGAUCUAUGAGGAAUAGCCUCACAGGCACCUUAAAAAUAAGAAUUUUCCUGGCAUGAAAUGAUGCCUUUUGUGGAAAGGUGAGAAUGAUUCUGG
Molecule: long non-coding RNA, 276 nt
Organism: Tupaia belangeri chinensis (Chinese tree shrew)
Lineage: Eukaryota; Metazoa; Chordata; Mammalia; Scandentia; Tupaiidae
Exons: 3
Source: RefSeq, a predicted model, not a curated record